RNAcentral lists this ribosomal RNA (2841 nucleotides) under Staphylococcus aureus. RNAcentral's name for it is "partial 23S ribosomal RNA". It matches the Rfam family "Bacterial large subunit ribosomal RNA". Lineage: Bacteria; Bacillati; Bacillota; Bacilli; Caryophanales; Staphylococcaceae. The record is from RNAcentral.
GAGCUGUAAGUAAGCUUUGAUCCAGAGAUUUCCGAAUGGGGAAACCCAGCAUGAGUUAUGUCAUGUUAUCGAUAUGUGAAUACAUAGCAUAUCAGAAGGCACACCCGGAGAACUGAAACAUCUUAGUACCCGGAGGAAGAGAAAGAAAAUUCGAUUCCCUUAGUAGCGGCGAGCGAAACGGGAAGAGCCCAAACCAACAAGCUUGCUUGUUGGGGUUGUAGGACACUCUAUACGGAGUUACAAAGGACGACAUUAGACGAAUCAUCUGGAAAGAUGAAUCAAAGAAGGUAAUAAUCCUGUAGUCGAAAAUGUUGUCUCUCUUGAGUGGAUCCUGAGUACGACGGAGCACGUGAAAUUCCGUCGGAAUCUGGGAGGACCAUCUCCUAAGGCUAAAUACUCUCUAGUGACCGAUAGUGAACCAGUACCGUGAGGGAAAGGUGAAAAGCACCCCGGAAGGGGAGUGAAAUAGAACCUGAAACCGUGUGCUUACAAGUAGUCAGAGCCCGUUAAUGGGUGAUGGCGUGCCUUUUGUAGAAUGAACCGGCGAGUUACGAUUUGAUGCAAGGUUAAGCAGUAAAUGUGGAGCCGUAGCGAAAGCGAGUCUGAAUAGGGCGUUUAGUAUUUGGUCGUAGACCCGAAACCAGGUGAUCUACCCUUGGUCAGGUUGAAGUUCAGGUAACACUGAAUGGAGGACCGAACCGACUUACGUUGAAAAGUGAGCGGAUGAACUGAGGGUAGCGGAGAAAUUCCAAUCGAACCUGGAGAUAGCUGGUUCUCUCCGAAAUAGCUUUAGGGCUAGCCUCAAGUGAUGAUUAUUGGAGGUAGAGCACUGUUUGGACGAGGGGCCCCUCUCGGGUUACCGAAUUCAGACAAACUCCGAAUGCCAAUUAAUUUAACUUGGGAGUCAGAACAUGGGUGAUAAGGUCCGUGUUCGAAAGGGAAACAGCCCAGACCACCAGCUAAGGUCCCAAAAUAUAUGUUAAGUGGAAAAGGAUGUGGCGUUGCCCAGACAACUAGGAUGUUGGCUUAGAAGCAGCCAUCAUUUAAAGAGUGCGUAAUAGCUCACUAGUCGAGUGACACUGCGCCGAAAAUGUACCGGGGCUAAACAUAUUACCGAAGCUGUGGAUUGUCCUUUGGACAAUGGUAGGAGAGCGUUCUAAGGGCGUUGAAGCAUGAUCGUAAGGACAUGUGGAGCGCUUAGAAGUGAGAAUGCCGGUGUGAGUAGCGAAAGACGGGUGAGAAUCCCGUCCACCGAUUGACUAAGGUUUCCAGAGGAAGGCUCGUCCGCUCUGGGUUAGUCGGGUCCUAAGCUGAGGCCGACAGGCGUAGGCGAUGGAUAACAGGUUGAUAUUCCUGUACCACCUAUAAUCGUUUUAAUCGAUGGGGGGACGCAGUAGGAUAGGCGAAGCGUGCGAUUGGAUUGCACGUCUAAGCAGUAAGGCUGAGUAUUAGGCAAAUCCGGUACUCGUUAAGGCUGAGCUGUGAUGGGGAGAAGACAUUGUGUCUUCGAGUCGUUGAUUUCACACUGCCGAGAAAAGCCUCUAGAUAGAAAAUAGGUGCCCGUACCGCAAACCGACACAGGUAGUCAAGAUGAGAAUUCUAAGGUGAGCGAGCGAACUCUCGUUAAGGAACUCGGCAAAAUGACCCCGUAACUUCGGGAGAAGGGGUGCUCUUUAGGGUUAACGCCCAGAAGAGCCGCAGUGAAUAGGCCCAAGCGACUGUUUAUCAAAAACACAGGUCUCUGCUAAACCGUAAGGUGAUGUAUAGGGGCUGACGCCUGCCCGGUGCUGGAAGGUUAAGAGGAGUGGUUAGCUUCUGCGAAGCUACGAAUCGAAGCCCCAGUAAACGGCGGCCGUAACUAUAACGGUCCUAAGGUAGCGAAAUUCCUUGUCGGGUAAGUUCCGACCCGCACGAAAGGCGUAACGAUUUGGGCACUGUCUCAACGAGAGACUCGGUGAAAUCAUAGUACCUGUGAAGAUGCAGGUUACCCGCGACAGGACGGAAAGACCCCGUGGAGCUUUACUGUAGCCUGAUAUUGAAAUUCGGCACAGCUUGUACAGGAUAGGUAGGAGCCUUUGAAACGUGAGCGCUAGCUUACGUGGAGGCGCUGGUGGGAUACUACCCUAGCUGUGUUGGCUUUCUAACCCGCACCACUUAUCGUGGUGGGAGACAGUGUCAGGCGGGCAGUUUGACUGGGGCGGUCGCCUCCUAAAAGGUAACGGAGGCGCUCAAAGGUUCCCUCAGAAUGGUUGGAAAUCAUUCAUAGAGUGUAAAGGCAUAAGGGAGCUUGACUGCGAGACCUACAAGUCGAGCAGGGUCGAAAGACGGACUUAGUGAUCCGGUGGUUCCGCAUGGAAGGGCCAUCGCUCAACGGAUAAAAGCUACCCCGGGGAUAACAGGCUUAUCUCCCCCAAGAGUUCACAUCGACGGGGAGGUUUGGCACCUCGAUGUCGGCUCAUCGCAUCCUGGGGCUGUAGUCGGUCCCAAGGGUUGGGCUGUUCGCCCAUUAAAGCGGUACGCGAGCUGGGUUCAGAACGUCGUGAGACAGUUCGGUCCCUAUCCGUCGUGGGCGUAGGAAAUUUGAGAGGAGCUGUCCUUAGUACGAGAGGACCGGGAUGGACAUACCUCUGGUGUACCAGUUGUCGUGCCAACGGCAUAGCUGGGUAGCUAUGUGUGGACGGGAUAAGUGCUGAAAGCAUCUAAGCAUGAAGCCCCCCUCAAGAUGAGAUUUCCCAACUUCGGUUAUAAGAUCCCUCAAAGAUGAUGAGGUUAAUAGGUUCGAGGUGGAAGCAUGGUGACAUGUGGAGCUGACGAAUACUAAUCGAUCGAAGACUUAAUCAA